UCGAAAUCGGUAGACGGUACGGACUUAAAAUCCGUUGGCUUUUUAGACCAUGAGGGUUCAAGUCCCUCUACCCCCA
RNAcentral lists this transfer RNA (76 nucleotides) under Fuscocephaloziopsis leucantha. RNAcentral describes it as "partial tRNA-Leu". It matches the Rfam family "tRNA", at positions 10 to 71 of the family's 71-position model. From Rfam's summary of the family: Transfer RNA (tRNA) molecules are approximately 80 nucleotides in length. Their secondary structure includes four short double-helical elements and three loops (D, anti-codon, and T loops). The record is from RNAcentral. Lineage: Eukaryota; Viridiplantae; Streptophyta; Jungermanniopsida; Jungermanniales; Cephaloziaceae.